GUUCAGAAUUAAAGUUUCAAUCUAAGUAAGGUAUUGAAUAAACGCUAUGCAUAUUGCUCUUGUAUAUUUAGUGACGACCGUAUUAUGUUCUAUAUAUCAGCAAAUAUUAGCAGUCUCUUAAAAUUGGUUUCAUUUAUUCUUUUUCAAGUUAUUUUUCAUUUUGUGAUAUGUGUGCAUUACAGAGGGCUUUUAUCGAAGACACGAAAUAUAUCAAGCUAACCAGGAAGACUUCGUGUGCUAUUUUUAAAUUUCUAAUGCUUUUCAAAAAUUAUAAUUGCUUAAAGUAUGACACUUCAUACCAUCUUGAACGUUAAUACUUCAAAUAAUACCAUAUAUUGAAAUUGUUCAAGUAGUUGCAAACUUGAAACGACGAUCAUGUAUCAUAUAGAGCUCAAAUACCGGGCGCACAAAAUGUAAUUGACUAAUCGACAAC
This 433-nucleotide long non-coding RNA is filed under the name Mytilus galloprovincialis (Mediterranean mussel). Lineage: Eukaryota; Metazoa; Mollusca; Bivalvia; Mytilida; Mytilidae. The record is from RNAcentral.